UAAUGGGUCAGCGACUUAUAUUCUGUAGCAAGGUUAACCGAAUAGGGGAGCCGAAGGGAAACCGAGUCUUAACUGGGCGUUAAGUUGCAGGGUAUAGACCCGAAACCCGGUGAUCUAGCCAUGGGCAGGUUGAAGGUUGGGUAACACUAACUGGAGGACCGAACCGACUAAUGUUGAAAAAUUAGCGGAUGACUUGUGGCUGGGGGUGAAAGGCCAAUCAAACCGGGAGAUAGCUGGUUCUCCCCGAAAGCUAUUUAGGUAGCGCCUCGUGAAUUCAUCUCCGGGGGUAGAGCACUGUUUCGGCAAGGGGGUCAUCCCGACUUACCAACCCGAUGCAAACUGCGAAUACCGGAGAAUGUUAUCACGGGAGACACACGGCGGGUGCUAACGUCCGUCGUGAAGAGGGAAACAACCCAGACCGCCAGCUAAGGUCCCAAAGUCAUGGUUAAGUGGGAAACGAUGUGGGAAGGCCCAGACAGCCAGGAUGUUGGCUUAGAAGCAGCCAUCAUUUAAAGAAAGCGUAAUAGCUCACUGGUCGAGUCGGCCUGCGCGGAAGAUGUAACGGGGCUAAACCAUGCACCGAAGCUGCGGCAGCGACGCUUAUGCGUUGUUGGGUAGGGGAGCGUUCUGUAAGCCUGUGAAGGUGUGCUGUGAGGCAUGCUGGAGGUAUCAGAAGUGCGAAUGCUGACAUAAGUAACGAUAAAGCGGGUGAAAAGCCCGCUCGCCGGAAGACCAAGGGUUCCUGUCCAACGUUAAUCGGGGCAGGGUGAGUCGACCCCUAAGGCGAGGCCGAAAGGCGUAGUCGAUGGGAAACAGGUUAAUA
Molecule: ribosomal RNA, 823 nt
Filed under: Escherichia coli
Lineage: Bacteria; Pseudomonadati; Pseudomonadota; Gammaproteobacteria; Enterobacterales; Enterobacteriaceae
Description: partial 23S ribosomal RNA
Rfam family: Bacterial large subunit ribosomal RNA
Source: RNAcentral